Molecule: ribosomal RNA, 253 nt
Filed under: uncultured bacterium
Lineage: Bacteria
Description: partial 16S ribosomal RNA
Rfam family: Bacterial small subunit ribosomal RNA
Source: RNAcentral
UACUGAGGGGGCUAGCGUUGUUCGGAAUUACUGGGCGUAAAGCGCACGUAGGCGGACUGAUCAGUCAGGGGUGAAAUCCCGGGGCUCAACCCCGGAACUGCCUUUGAUACUGUCAGUCUGGAGGUCGAGAGAGGUGAGUGGAAUUCCGAGUGUAGAGGUGAAAUUCGUAGAUAUUCGGAGGAACACCAGUGGCGAAGGCGGCUCACUGGCUCGAUACUGACGCUGAGGUGCGAAAGCGUGGGGAGCAAACAGG